Molecule: ribosomal RNA, 441 nt
Filed under: Triticum aestivum (bread wheat)
Lineage: Eukaryota; Viridiplantae; Streptophyta; Magnoliopsida; Poales; Poaceae
Description: partial small subunit ribosomal RNA
Source: RNAcentral
AUGUCAGCCUUCGCCGUUACCGCGCUAGUGACGCCGCUGGUGGGUGGUGCAGCCUGGACGCUGACCACGGUCUAUGGGCCCUCAGAGGAAGACGCCAAACCUCUUUUCCUUGCUGACCUGGCUCGGAUCCGUGGGCUUAUUUCCGGACCCUGGCUUAUAAUCGGGGAUUUUAACCUAAUUUAUGAAGCCCGGGACAAGAGCAACUCCAACAUCAAUCUGCGGCUUAUGGAGCGAUUCCGAUCGGCGCUAAAUAACAACGACCUCAAGGAGAUCAAUUUGUGCGGCAGGCGCUUCACAUGGUCAAACGAGCAAGCCUCGCCCACGCUGGUCCCCCUGGAUCGCGCCUUCUGCACGCCAGAGUGGGAUCUUCAGUUCAACGCAGCGCGGCUCCAACCCCUCGCCACGGCCAUGUCAGAUCACUGCCCUCUCCUCUUGACAUGU